Molecule: ribosomal RNA, 585 nt
Filed under: Triticum aestivum (bread wheat)
Lineage: Eukaryota; Viridiplantae; Streptophyta; Magnoliopsida; Poales; Poaceae
Description: partial small subunit ribosomal RNA
Source: RNAcentral
AUGGCUGAAGUGCCAGUGCUUUUGCAGGGGCCCCAUGACGUCAGCCACCGUUAUCACCUAUUCUUGAACACAAAUAAUGAUGAUGACCCUCGGACUUUCAGACUUCGAACCGUAAAGAACACAUGGUCAAUACACGAUUCUUUCAUUCCACACCUUGAGGCUUAUGGACUACAUGGUUAUGCUAGGCUCACAUCAUCCGAAGACCAAUUACGUUCGGAUCCAUCCCUUUUGACAUCCCUCGUUGACCGGUGGAGACCUGAAACCCACACCUUUCACUUUCGUAUUGGGGAGCUUGCACCUGCACUGAAAGAUGUUUCUAUAAUCACUGCUCUACCAAUUAGAGGUGAGCAGUUAGUCUCUCCGUCAGUGACUCCAUCUUGGGCAUUAAAUAUCUCAGCCCGUAUUAGGAUGACAAUUCCAGAAUCACAAUGUUCUGGUGGCCCUCAGGGCGUCCCACUCGCCUGGCUUCGUGCAAACUUUCAUGGUUUAUCUAACCAGCUGAUUCUGAGACGAGGAAAAGGCAUAUGUUUGCAUAUUUGUUGUGGCUCCUCGGGACUAUGUUUCCAAAUUCACACGGGGACGUAG